Molecule: long non-coding RNA, 2344 nt
Organism: Homo sapiens (human)
Lineage: Eukaryota; Metazoa; Chordata; Mammalia; Primates; Hominidae
Gene: FAM27C
Product: family with sequence similarity 27 member C
Source: Ensembl
AGGAGCCCUCGGUGGCAGUGCUUGGGUGUCGAGGCUCUGAGGCUCCGGCCUCACCUCUCCACGGGGUCGAAGGGAACGUCUCCGGAUGCCAGGAGUCGCAAAGGGCCGACCAUGAUGAUGAAACCCCAGGCAGAGACGGGGGAAGCAGCACGGGAUCCCAGCCUCAGGCCUGCACGGACGGUGUUGGUUGGGAGACGAGGUCUCACUAUAUUGACCAGGCUGGUCUUGAACUCCUGGCCUUAAGCGAUCCUCCUGCCUUGGCCUCCCAAAGUGCUGGAGUUACAGAUGUGAGCCUCUGUGCUCAGUCCAUCCUUGGCUGUUCAAGUGUAGAGGUGAUGUAAAAUUCUCAAACAAUGAGAUAGAUAAAAAGUACGCAGCCAAAAAGUUCAAGAAGAAGUGUUAUGGAGAUGGAGCAGGCCCUUCGUAAAAACACGAUGUUGGUUUUCUGGAUUUUGGAGGCCUCACAAAACCCGGAUCAGACUCGCCCACUGCCCUGUGUCUGCCCUCCCGACCGCCUCUCCUGCCCAGCAGGGAUGAGGGUGGCAGUGGUGCUGUGUGGAGGGUGGCGGGAGGACCUGGAAGACUGCGACCAGUGAGCCGGGAGGCCUUGGGACAGCCUCUCUCUGAAUCAUCCUGUGCACUGCCGGGUGUGACAGAGGCUCCUAGAAUCCUGUCUCAAGUGGCCGCCUUCACAGAGGGAGUCACUGACGUCCCUGCUCAGCGCAGCCCUGGCAUGUGGGGGUCCCUCUACUCAUGAGAAACCCCCACCCAAUCACCGUGAGGUGUGUGACCCAUGCUCACAUCCAGGGGCCACUCAUUCAUUCAGGAAACAUUGGCCGAGCCCUCAGCAGGGGGCGGUGCUGGAUGCCGGGAUGUAGAGAGUGGGGUGGGACAAGGACUUGGUUGUGAGACGUCCCAGUCCGGGGAAGGACUAAGAGAAGGUGACAUGGACAGUCUAGACUACCCGUCAUUGGUUCUCCACUGGGGGCAGUAUUGGCAAUGUUUAGGUAUAAAUUUGUUGUCACAAUGAAUGCUACCAACGUCUAGUGGGUGGAGGCCGGGGGUGCGGCUCAGCAUCCUACCAGGUGUCGGACGGCCCCCACCACCGAGUGCCAGCCCCGAGGGCAGCCCAGGGUGCCCCAGUGGUGAGGAGCCCCGGUGUGGAGUGCAGGGUUCGUUUGGACCACGGCUGUAGAGGCCUAGGGGAGCUCCCGCCAUCAGGAUGGCCGGGCAUCAGGGCUCUGUGAGGGGGAAGGGGGCAUCAGUGCAGCGGCAGGCAGGGGUUCGACGGGCUGAGUCCUGCGACGUGUUGCAUCCACACCAGUGUCUGGGGCCAGCACCACCGCUCAGUCUCUGAACCCACUUAUUUCGCCCAAUAUUGCUUGAGUGGGAAGUUCCACCUUCCCCAGUCGGCUGCUUAUCUCGUCUUUCCAAUGCAGUUAGGAAGGGAAAAUAUUUUCUCCCCAUUUUACAGAUGAAGAAAUGGGGCCUGGCGAGGAGCAAAGCCCAGAACUGCUGCCCACCACCCUCCCUGCCUGGUGCUUUCCUGGGAACAUGUGGGAGCCCCUGCCUGGACCUUGGGACCUCCCAUCUGUAAUUGCAGGCCCUGGUCUGCCUGUAUGGAUGUGGAAUGUGUCACUCGGGAUCCUGGAGUCCUCCUGAGCUUGUCCAGCAGGGCUGCAUUCACUGAUGUGCUGACAGAGGCCUAGGCUCGGACCUCUAGGAAUAUCCAAGGCAUCUCAUUAUGCAGAAAACCACCCUCAUGAGGUCCUGGAGGCCUCUCUCCAUCUUCCUGGGGGUGAUGCAAUAGAGUGUAACUUCCAUGCUGCCGAGACAGGCCAUGAGGGGUUGCCCCCGUUGGAGGGGCAGAGUGGUAUUUGUGGGGUGGUAGGAAUCAUUCAAUGCCCAGCUGCAACCCCCCGGGCUCACAGCACACUCUUAAGGCCAGUGCUACCAGCUCCCUUGGGUGGAUAGAGGAGCUACGGCUCAGAAGCAUGCCCACAGCUCCCCCAGGACCCUGAGGCCAGCCUGUGGCAGGGCCUGUGAUUUGAACCCCUCUACAAGGCUUCAAAUCAGUGCUGUUUGUCCUGGCCUCAUAAAACCUGGCUGCCCAGUUGGGAUUGGUGUCAUCUGCCUUGCUGAACUGGGCACUCCUUGGGAAGAGGGUGGGUGCUGCGAGAAGGCGGUGGAUCCUGGCUGUGCAACCUUCGCAGGUGGCUGAACCUCUCUGUGUCUCAGUUUGCUCAUCUGCAAAGGGGGCUGGGAUUCCUGCCUACAUGCAUGUGCUCAAGAGGGAAAGCCAGCCAGGCAUGGUGGCUCAUGCCUGUAAUCCCAGCACUUUGGG